Transfer RNA from Loxodonta africana (African savanna elephant), 71 nucleotides. It matches the Rfam family "tRNA". From Rfam's summary of the family: Transfer RNA (tRNA) molecules are approximately 80 nucleotides in length. Their secondary structure includes four short double-helical elements and three loops (D, anti-codon, and T loops). NCBI's taxonomy places the organism in Eukaryota, Metazoa, Chordata, Mammalia, Proboscidea, Elephantidae. The record is from Rfam.
GCCCUGGUAGCGCAGUGGUUAAGCAUUUGGCUGCUAACCAAAAGGUUAGUGGUUCAAAUCCAUCAGCUGCU